RNAcentral lists this transfer RNA (74 nucleotides) under Planctomycetota bacterium. RNAcentral describes it as "Planctomycetes bacterium (bioreactor metagenome) tRNA-Trp". It matches the Rfam family "tRNA". From Rfam's summary of the family: Transfer RNA (tRNA) molecules are approximately 80 nucleotides in length. Their secondary structure includes four short double-helical elements and three loops (D, anti-codon, and T loops). Lineage: Bacteria; Pseudomonadati; Planctomycetota. The record is from RNAcentral.
AGGGGAGUAGCUCCAAUCGGCAGAGCGGCUGAUUCCAAAUCAGUAGGUUGGGGGUUCGAAUCCCUCCUCCCCUG